Molecule: ribosomal RNA, 431 nt
Filed under: uncultured bacterium
Lineage: Bacteria
Description: bacterial SSU rRNA
Rfam family: Bacterial small subunit ribosomal RNA
Source: RNAcentral
GGUGCCCUCACUGCCUUCGGGUGCUACCAACUCCCAUGGCGUGACAGGCGGUGUGUACAAGGUCAGGGAACGUAUUCACCGCGGCGGCUGGGACAAUCACUAGUGAAUUCGCUGAUUGUAAAAGUACACCAUGAUAACUCGUUGUCGUGGAUAUACAUUCUUUGUGAAAGCAAAAGCGAUAAGUUAUCCACCUGGGGAGUACGACCGCAAGGUUGAAACUCAAAGGAAUUGACGGGGGCCCGCACAAGCGGAGGAACAUGUGGUUUAAUUCGAUGAUACGCGAGGAACCUUACCCGGGCUCGAACGGUGCAGGAAUAUGGUAGAGAUAUCAUAGCUAGCAAUAGUCUGUAUCGAGGUGCUGCAUGGUUGUCGUCAGCUCGUGCCGUGAGGUGUCGGCUUAAGUGCCAUAACGAGCGCAACCCUUGUCAUUA